AGAGUUUGAUCCUGGCUCAGAUUGAACGCUGGCGGCAUGGCUAAAGCAUGCAAGUCGAACGAAAACCAGGCUUCGGCCUGGGGACAGUGGCGAAAGGGCGAGUAAUGCACUCCUACGUACCCCGAGGCGGGGGAUAGGUCGGGGAAACGCGGCGUAAUACCCUAUGUGCUCUCAGGAGGAAAGGCUUCGGCCGCCUCGGGAGCGGGGAGCGUCCUAUCAGGUUGUUGGUGAGGUAACGGCUCACCAAGCCAAAGACGGGUAGCGGGUGUGAGAGCAUGACCCGCCGCAUCGGGACUGAGACACUGCCCGGACUCCUACGGGAGGCUGCAGCGACGAAUCUUCCGCAAUGCGCGAAAGCGUGACGGAGCAAUGCCGCGUGUGGGAUGAAGCGGCUUCGCCGUGUAAACCACUGUCAGGGGUUAGAAAUACUGAUCAACCCCAAAGGAAGGGCCGGCUAACCUCGUGCCAGCAGCCGCGGUAAGACGAGGGGCCCAAGCGUUAAUCGGAAUUACUGGGCUUAAAGGGUGCGUAGGCGGAUGCGAAGGUGUCUUGUGAAAUCCCUCGGCUCAACCGAGGAACUGCACGGCAAACCACGUGUCUUGAGACAGGUAGAGGUCGUCGGAACGAUAGGUGGAGCGGUGAAAUGCGUAGAUAUCUAUCGGAACGCCAAUGGAGAAGUCAGGCGACUGGGCCUGUUCUGACGCUGAGGCACGAAAGCGUGGGGAGCGAACGGGAUUAGAUACCCCGGUAGUCCACGCCCUAAACGAUGUGCACUAGGUCGUGGCGGCUCUGACGCCUUCUUGGCCGAAGAGAAAUCGUUAAGUGCACCGCCUGGGGAGUACGGUCGCAAGGCUAAAACUCAAAGGAAUUGACGGGGGCUCACACAAGCGGUGGAGCAUGUGGCUUAAUUCGAACCAACGCGCAGAACCUUACCAGGGCUUGACAUGCACGGAUUAGUUCAUGGAAACAUGGGUGACGCCCUUCGGGGUGGAACGUGCACAGGUGCUGCAUGGCUGUCGUCAGCUCGUGCUGUGAAGUGUCGGGUUAAGUCCCUUAACGAGCGCAACCCCUAUCGCUAGUUGCCAGCGGGUAAUGCCGGGGACUCUAGCGAGACUGCCGGUGUCAAACCGGAGGAAGGUGGGGACGACGUCAAGUCCUCAUGGCCUUUAUGCCCUGGGCUGCAAACGUGCUACAAUGGCGUAUACAAAGCGAGGCGAUGUCGCGAGGCGGAGCAAAUCGCAAAAAGUACGCCCCAGUUCGGAUUGCAGGCUGCAACUCGCCUGCAUGAAGUCGGAAUCGCUAGUAAUCGGAGAUCAGCUACGCUCCGGUGAAUGUGUCCCUGAGCCUUGUACACACCGCCCGUCACGUCAUGGAAGCUGGGAGUGCCCGAAGUCGCCUCGAUUCAGGGGUGCCUACGGCAAGUUCGAUGACUGGGACGAAGUCGUAACAAGGUAGCCGUAGGAGAACCUGCGGCUGGAUCACCUCCUU
RNAcentral lists this ribosomal RNA (1488 nucleotides) under uncultured prokaryote. RNAcentral's name for it is "partial 16S ribosomal RNA". It matches the Rfam family "Bacterial small subunit ribosomal RNA". The record is from RNAcentral.